CCCCUAAAGUCUUGUGAUGAUAAUUACAGAUAAAAGGAGGUCCAUUCCAGCAUCUAAUGAUGUCUAACCUUGAUUUUUCCACCUAUUCGAUGUACUUUGAAUGGAGAAUCUUCCGAUGCACUGCACUCUCUGAGUCAAAGGUUUGCCCUUGCUGCAGGAGCAUAUUCCGUAAUCUGAAGGCUUU
Non-coding RNA from Encephalitozoon intestinalis ATCC 50506, 184 nucleotides. The record is from RefSeq and is a predicted model, not a curated record. Lineage: Eukaryota; Fungi; Microsporidia; Unikaryonidae.